RNAcentral lists this ribosomal RNA (378 nucleotides) under uncultured Proteiniphilum sp. Its description in RNAcentral is "bacterial SSU rRNA". It matches the Rfam family "Bacterial small subunit ribosomal RNA", at positions 1003 to 1382 of the family's 1533-position model. The record is from RNAcentral. Lineage: Bacteria; Pseudomonadati; Bacteroidota; Bacteroidia; Bacteroidales; Dysgonomonadaceae.
GAAAGAGGUUUUUCCCUUCGGGGCAGAUGUGUAGGUGCUGCAUGGUUGUCGUCAGCUCGUGCCGUGAGGUGUCGGCUUAAGUGCCAUAACGAGCGCAACCCUCAUCAUUAGUUACCAUCAGGUAAGGCUGGGGACUCUAAUGAGACUGCCAUCGUAAGAUGUGAGGAAGGUGGGGAUGACGUCAAAUCAGCACGGCCCUUACGUCCGGGGCGACACACGUGUUACAAUGGGUGGUACAAAGGGCAGCUACCUGGCGACAGGAUGCUAAUCUCAAAAGCCGGUCUCAGUUCGGAUCGGAGUCUGCAACUCGACUGCGUGAAGUCGGAAUCGCUAGUAAUCGUGAAUCAGAAUGUCACGGUGAAUACGUUCCCGGGCCUU